This 208-nucleotide ribosomal RNA is filed under the name uncultured bacterium. Its description in RNAcentral is "partial 16S ribosomal RNA". It matches the Rfam family "Bacterial small subunit ribosomal RNA", at positions 568 to 775 of the family's 1533-position model. The record is from RNAcentral.
UGUGUAGGCGGUUGUUUAAGUUUGGUGUGAAAUCUCCCGGCUCAACUGGGAGGGUGCGCCGAUACUGAAUGACUUGGAGUGCGGGAGAGGAAAGUGGAAUUCCUGGUGUAGCGGUGAAAUGCGUAGAUAUCAGGAGGAACACCGGUGGUGUAGACGGCUUUCUGGACCGUAACUGACGCUGAGACACGAAAGCGUGGGUAGCAAAACA